RNAcentral lists this ribosomal RNA (377 nucleotides) under uncultured bacterium. Its description in RNAcentral is "bacterial SSU rRNA". It matches the Rfam family "Bacterial small subunit ribosomal RNA", at positions 524 to 898 of the family's 1533-position model. The record is from RNAcentral.
UACGUAGGGGGCAAGCGUUGUCCGGAUUUAUUGGGCGUAAAGCGCGCGCAGGCGGUUUCUCAAGUUUGCACUGACAGCUCCUGGCUUAACCGGGAGAGGCGUGCGAAAACUGGGAGACUUGAGGGCCUCAGAGGAACAUGGAAUUCCAGGUGGAGCGGUGAAAUGCGUAGAGAUCUGGAGGAACACCUAAGGCGAAGGCAGUGUUCUGGGAGGCACCUGACGCUCAGGCGCGAAAGCCAGGGGAGCGAACGGGAUUAGAUACCCCGGUAGUCCUGGCCGUAAACGAUGACCACUAGAUGUGGGAGGUAUCGACCCCUUCCGUGUCGUAAGCUAACGCGAUAAGUGGUCCGCCUGGGGAGUACGGUCGCAAGAUUAAA